AAAUAGCCCCGAUAGCAACGGUUACCCCGCAGCAAGUAUCAGCCGGAGAGCUGGCGCGAGGAGUAUGAGUGGAUAGCGGGAAACAGC
RNAcentral lists this unclassified non-coding RNA (87 nucleotides) under Chryseobacterium sp. YR221. Its description in RNAcentral is "Flavo-1 RNA". Lineage: Bacteria; Pseudomonadati; Bacteroidota; Flavobacteriia; Flavobacteriales; Weeksellaceae. The record is from RNAcentral.